AAUCGAUUACAGACAUAAAAUUGUUAUUUGACCUAAACUACUUUUUUCUUCUUUCUAUCGGCUUUGUUUUUUUUUCUUUUUCUACUUCAUCUCUCGAGAAUCUCUUCGUCUUCGUGUUGUGGCGGUGAUUGCAUGCAUAUUCCACCGGAUGUAAGAGAAGAUAGUGGGUGAGAGAAGAUCAUGGAUAAGCUUCUUUCUGGGUUUGUAGAUUAGAAGCCAUCUUCUUUAGAACACUGUGGAUCGAGCAACUGAUUCAAUAGGUUAAGAUGAAACAGGAAUGACGAGUGCUUCUAAAGUAAUCAUAGCAGACCACAAAUGUUUCUUUUUUUGGAUAUUCUAUUUAACUACUACUUCUUCUUCGUUUUAUUGUUCAUUUUGGAUCAUUGGGUGUAUAUCUGUUGACGGGUUGAUGCAUUCUAAUAUAGAUAGAAUAUUGAAUUUGAUUGGUUUAGUAUGAUGGCUCAUGUUUGAGUGUGAAAGUAUUUGCAGGAUUUUGUGACCAAAUUUAUAUCCUCUGAUCCAAUCCAUCCUCUGGUCCUCCAAUAAGAUGUGUAUCCAUAUUAGUGAGGCAACAAUUGUUUUAAAGGACUGUUUACACACAAAACAAACAAUCAUUAUUUUACACCAAAGAUGCAGAUGAUGACAAGUGUGAGUAAAACAUCCUAAAAAAAACAGUAAUGCUGACUUCUUCAGUGCCAUGGUACAGUACGUGUCUAGAAAACAUUGUGAGGUUUACCACAAAAAUCAUGUGAUAUAAUUAGAGGAUUUCU
Camelina sativa (false flax) is the source of this 770-nucleotide non-coding RNA. Lineage: Eukaryota; Viridiplantae; Streptophyta; Magnoliopsida; Brassicales; Brassicaceae. The record is from RefSeq and is a predicted model, not a curated record.